UCCAUGAUUGAGUCUUUGAAUGAAGAGAUUAAGAUAAAACGUUGAGGGGCUAGGGGUUGAUUUUGGGAUUCAGGGUAUAAGUACAACGCACAUGCUGGAAUAAAUGUGUCGGUGUAUCAAAACAUUUUUUUUCAUAUGCUGAUUGAUUCGUCUCGGAUGGAUGAUACAAUUAUUUGAUUUCAGCUGCCCCAUGUUCUUAAGUACUUACGGUAACUAACUUUUUCUGAUUGUGUCACAUUCGUUCUUAUUUUACAAACUAUUUGGUUUGUUGUGCCCUGCCAGCGACCCUCGACAUGACGAAGUUACAGUUUCUAAAUGUAUAUUUGACCGAACGGUUGAUGUUAGCUGCCCAAUAGAUAUGAGACAUAAAUAAUACAGGGAAAGAGCGAAUGAUCAACUGAGAUGCAAGCUGCACGGAAAUGGGAUUCCAUGGCCAGGAGCUGUCGAUAGAAAAUAUAUUCGGAUCUGAGCUCCGGAAAACUCGGCCAGCGAGUACUACAACUACAAGGGAUGUUUCUCAAUUAUUCUGAUUGCAGUCUGCGAUGCAAAGUACCGCUUCACCAUGAUCAACGUGGGCGCAUAUGGUCGGGAGGGAGAAGCAAGUUCAGAGUGCUUGCCGGAGACACAAACACCGAGGCCAUAUGUCUUCGUGGGAGACGAGGCAUUCCCUCUGGGGGUAAACCUGAUGCAACCAUAUCCAGGUUCUUCUCGCCUUGGUGUGCACAACAACCACAAGGAUUACUUCCUCACACCAGCUGGUCGAGUGUCUUUCCAGGAUGCUGCUCUCACGUGCUAGUCUUGCUAACACCAACCUCUCUAUGUCCUUGACUUGAGAGUCUGGAACGGCUUUUGAUGUGUCUCACGAAGCGAAGAUAAUGAAGGGGCUGUGUCCUCAGACUUCAAGGCGGCAUCCUACGCUGGUUGUAUAUCCCUUUUUCAAAUGAAAUAAAUCAUGAUCUAUUGUUUUACAUAUGUCCGCCCCAGCUCUUGCGGAAUUAGCAAACACACACAGAGGCUAGCUAGUCCAAACCUUUGGAGUUCGGACAUCGUUUGCCGCUAACGUCAUGAAUAAAUCAUCACACAUAUUUUCAAAACGUAACAACCCUUCUACAAAAAAACGAGUGGCAUAUUCGACAACUACAACCUGUUAAACGUUACAAUCUUGUGGCAAGCAAGUAGCAACUAAAGUUAACUAGCAUUGCUAACGUUAGCUAGAAUUGUUCAACCCAUAGAAAGCCAGCCAGCUAAUAACUUUAACUUGCUUGCUAUCAACUCGAAAUCAGCUAGCAUAUCAAAUCAAUGUAUUAGUUAUAAAUGAACUAGUUAGCUAAUUAUAGGCUGAACAUUUCCUUACCCACUGAAAUUGACAUAGUAGGGCAAUGAUGUGAAUCACCCAUACAUUCUAGCAAGCUAGCUACUACUGUACUACCCAAAUUCACUUCUGGCAAGUUUCCUCCCUGCCCCCUAAUUUUGGUAAUGUAUGAACAUGAAAUACCCUAAACAUUAAUAGAUCAUAGUCUGCUCCAAAAGGAUCAGACUACAGCAAGUAUGACCAACAAAACCAAAAGAGAUCUGAAUCAUUUUUCAUCAGGUCAACCUAAAAUGUCUAUCUAAUGCAACAUUUUACAAAUUUAAAGAUCGAGAAAACAAGAGAGCAUGUACAAAAUGUACUUUAUUUUACAGGAUUAUAUAAUGCGUGAAGCAAACAUGGAAUUACUGUGAAGGUGAAGACUCUGAAGAUGUCGAGUGAAAGUGUCUUUCAUCGCUCUAAGUACCCUGUGGAUGAAAGUGAUUGUCUGGCUCCUCGCCAUUAAACCUAGUUAAGGAGGAAACUGACGCCUUUGCAGCCUGAAUGGAGAAUGUUUUAGACCGAGAGUCCUCUGCUCUAAUAGAACUUGAGGAGGGAGCCAUUGGGUUGAAGCAGGAACCAGAACCCAGGCAAACUAUGGAGAAACAGGAGGGAAGGACCAGGAAGGAGAAAAAGUAACUUAGAGGACUAGACUCUGUCUAGAUGUCUCUCCUUCCAAUGGAAGCGAUGGCUAUGAUCAGAAAUCACCUCACUCAGUCAGUUCCAAACUCACACCGAGGUUAGUAGAGGGGGAGGCUCUCUAUCCAGCUCAACAUCCAAUCAAAACAGAGACUGAAGGACUGGGUGUUUAUCUGUUGGAUCUGUCAAGUGACCCCAAAUGCAUUCUCUUCAGUGAACCUUGACCUCUGGGCAGCACAGAUUGAGAAUAGUGUAAGUAUGAAGGCGGUAGAAGGUGGUGAAGGACUACUGUCAGGGUUUGAGGCGCUACACAUACCGCUACAUUCGGAACAUUCAAAUUCCCAUCAAAUACACAACCACAACACAGCGUUGUGUUGCAAGGUGUGUGGGAAACCCUGUAGACAUAUGGGCCAUUUAAACGCACAUGUGCGAAUGCACAUGAAAGAGAAGGCAUUUCUCUGCGGGGUUUGUGGUAAGUGUUUUAGCUCGUCGGGGAGGUUGAAAGGUCACCAGAGGAUUCACAUAGGGGAGAAGCCCUAUUAGUGCCAUAUCUGUAGGAAACGGUUCAAUCAGACCGCACACCUGAAAGUGCAUCCGAGUGUCCACACAGGAGAGAAACUAUUCAGUUGUCCUGUGUGUGGCAAGUGCAUCAGCCGCUCCGACAAAAUCAAACGUCAUCUCCAGACCCACAGCCGUGAAGGCACCUAGGCUUGUGAUUUUCUUUUUCUCUUUCUCUCAAAGAGCUAGGGAUUCUACGACUUUCUUAGAGAAUGUUUUCUGAGUAACGCUUCUCCAUGCCAUAGUCUCUCUGUCUCUCAUGCAAUAGGUUUUGUAUUGCAUUAUAGUCAAUUUAGUGUGUCCAUUUUCUUUUUGUACAUUUCACUGAAUGGAGUUUUUGUGGAAAAAAACACAACAUUUUAUGAGUUAGUUGCUAGUCUUUCUGAAUUAUACUGAACAAAAAUAUGGUGUGGCAUAUCAAGAAGCUUAUUAAAGAGCAUGAUCAUUACACAGGUGCACCUUGUGCUGGGGACAAUAAAAGGCCACUGUAAAAUUGGCAGUUUUGUCACACAACACAGUGCUACAGAUGUCACAUGUUUUGAGGGAAUGUCCACCAGAGCUGUUGCCAGAAAAUGUUAUGUUAAUUUCUCUACCAUAAGCUGCCUCCAACGUCGUUUUAGAGAAUUUGGCAUAACAUCCAACUGGCUGUUUAAUCAGCUUAUUGAUAUGCCACACCUGUCAGCUGGAUGGAUUUUCUUGGCAAAGGAGAAAUACACACUAAUGCUUUGCAAAUUUGUGCUAAAAAUUUGAGAGAAGUUAACUUUUUGUGCGUAUGGAAACAUGGGACCAACACUUUACAUGUUGCGUUUAUAUUUUUGUUCAUUAUAACUGUAUUGCUUGUUCACGAGGGUUGGUCCUGAGCUAGGCGCUGCUGCACAUACAGGUAACUGCUAAAAUAAUUAAAGAUGGUGCCGAGAGCCAUGGCAGCUCUGCUUCUAGCUCCUAAGCAACUUUGGGAUAUUACAGCACUGUUGGAGCUAGGAAUACAACCAUUUCGCUACACCCGCAAUAACAUGUGUAUGUGACCAAUACAAUUUUAUUCAAUUUAAUGGAAAUACUUUAGUAAAUGAGCGAUACAAAGUAUAUUGAAAGCAGGUGCUUCCACACAGGUGUGGUUCCUGAGUUAAUUACCCAAUUAACAUCCAAUCAUGCUUAGGGUCAUGUGAAAA
Molecule: long non-coding RNA, 3714 nt
Organism: Salvelinus namaycush (lake trout)
Lineage: Eukaryota; Metazoa; Chordata; Actinopteri; Salmoniformes; Salmonidae
Exons: 4
Source: RefSeq, a predicted model, not a curated record